AUGGCUUUGUCCCCUGGGGUGAUCCCUGCAGUAGCUCUGCUAGUGGGCGGCCUGUUCACCGCCUUCCCUGCGGCGUCCGGCGGCCACGUCGACGUCCGUGACAUGCUGAUGAUGGACAGGUUCCGCCAGUGGCAGGCCACCCACAACCGUUCGUACCUGAGCGCGGAGGAGAGGCUGCGGCGCUUCGAGGUGUACCGCAGCAACGUGGAGUACAUCGACGCCACCAACCGGCGCGGCGACCUCACCUACGAGCUCGGAGAGAACCAAUUCGCCGACCUCACCGGGGAGGAGUUCGUCGCAAGGUACGCUUCGUCGCACGAAGCCGGCGGUGGCACUGGCUCGGUCAUCACGACAGCCGCUGAGGCUGACGGCCUCUGGUCGUCGGGCGGUGGCGACGACUCCUUGGAGGCUCCGCUUCCGCCCAGCGUGGACUGGAGGGCCAAAGGCGCCGUGACGCCGGUCAAGAACCAAGGCUCGCAAUGCUUCAGCUGCUGGGCGUUCUCGGCGGUGGCAAUGAUGGAGAGUCUCUACUUCAUCAAGACGGGGACGCUGGUGACCCUGUCGGAGCAGCAGCUGGUGGACUGCGACAAGUACGACGGUGGCUGCAACCGAGGCUACUACCAUAGAGCCUUCCAGUGGAUCAUGGAGAACGGCGGCCUCACCACGGCGGCGCUGUACCCAUACAAGGCGGUGAGAGGCGUCUGCAUCCGCGCCAAGCCCGCCGUCACCAUCACCGGGCACGCGGCGGUCCCCAAGAAUGAACUGGCCCUGCAGAGCGCCGUCGCGAGGCAGCCCAUCGGCGUGGCCAUCGAGGUCCCAACCAGCAUGCAGUUCUACAAGAGCGGGGUCUUCUCGGCCCCCUGUGGGAUCCAGAUGAGCCACGCCGUGGUGACCGUCGGCUACGGCACCGACGCCUACUCGGGGCUCAAGUACUGGCUCGUCAAGAACUCGUGGGGCCAGACAUGGGGCGAGGCCGGCUACAUCCGUAUGCGCCGCGACGUCGGAGGCGGGGGGCUCUGCGGCAUCGCGCUCGACACCGCUUACCCGACCAUGUGA
This 1056-nucleotide ribosomal RNA is filed under the name Triticum aestivum (bread wheat). Its description in RNAcentral is "partial small subunit ribosomal RNA". Lineage: Eukaryota; Viridiplantae; Streptophyta; Magnoliopsida; Poales; Poaceae. The record is from RNAcentral.